RNAcentral lists this signal recognition particle RNA (309 nucleotides) under Mus pahari (shrew mouse). Its description in RNAcentral is "predicted gene, 24105 (MGP_PahariEiJ_G0008222.1)". It matches the Rfam family "Metazoan signal recognition particle RNA". From Rfam's summary of the family: The signal recognition particle (SRP) is a universally conserved ribonucleoprotein. It is involved in the co-translational targeting of proteins to membranes. The eukaryotic SRP consists of a 300-nucleotide 7S RNA and six proteins: SRPs 72, 68, 54, 19, 14, and 9. The record is from RNAcentral. Lineage: Eukaryota; Metazoa; Chordata; Mammalia; Rodentia; Muridae.
GCAGGGCGCGGUGGCGCAAGCCUGUAGUCCCAGCAACUCGGAGGCUGAGAGGCUGAGACAGGAGGAUCGCUUGAGUACAGGAGUUCUGGGCUACAUGUAGUGCGCUGUGCCGAUCGGGUGUCCGCACUAAGUUUGGCAUCGAUACGGUGACCUCCCGGGAACGGGGGACCACAAGGUUGCCUAAGGAAGGGUGAACCGGUCCAGGUUGGAAACGGAGCAGGUCAAAACUCCCGUGCUGAUCAGUAGUGGGAUCGCGCCUGUAAAUAGCCACUGCACUCCAACCGGGCAACACAACGAGACCCAGUCUCU